AACUUCGUGAACCAUCGAGUUUUUGAACGCAAGUUGCGCCCGAGGCCCUCGGGCUGAGGGCACGCCUGCCUGGGCGUCACGCAUCGCGUCGCCCCCCCUCCCCGAGGGGGCGGAGACUGGCCUCCCGUGCGCUCCCGUCGCGCGGCCGGCCC
RNAcentral lists this ribosomal RNA (152 nucleotides) under Justicia linearispica. Its description in RNAcentral is "5.8S ribosomal RNA". The stretch from base 1 to 79 matches the Rfam family "5.8S ribosomal RNA", at positions 78 to 154 of the family's 154-position model. Rfam says of the family: 5.8S ribosomal RNA (5.8S rRNA) is a component of the large subunit of the eukaryotic ribosome. The record is from RNAcentral. Lineage: Eukaryota; Viridiplantae; Streptophyta; Magnoliopsida; Lamiales; Acanthaceae.